This 403-nucleotide ribosomal RNA is filed under the name uncultured bacterium. RNAcentral's name for it is "partial 16S ribosomal RNA". It matches the Rfam family "Bacterial small subunit ribosomal RNA", at positions 28 to 526 of the family's 1533-position model. The record is from RNAcentral.
GACGAACGCUGGCGGCGUGCCUAAUACAUGCAAGUCGAACGCAGUGGGGACGGGUGAGUAACACGUGGGUAACCUCCCAUCAGAGGGGAUAACACUUGGAAACAGGUGCUAAACCGAUACUGAUGGAUGGACACGCGGUGCAUUAGCUAGUUGGUGAGGUAACGGCUGACCAAGGCGACGAUGCAUCGCCGACCUGAGAGGGUGAUCGGCCACACUGGGACUGAGACACGGCCCAGACUCCUACGGGAGGCAGCAGUGGGGAAUAUUCGGCAAUGGACGAAAGUCUGAUCGAGCAACGCCGCGUGUGUGAAGAAGGUUUUCGGAUCGUAAAACUCUGUUGUUUGAGAAGCGGUAUCUAACGAGGAAGCCACGGCUAACUCCGUGCCAGCAGCCGCGGUAAUAC